RNAcentral lists this ribosomal RNA (64 nucleotides) under Oculatella atacamensis ATA2-1-CV9. Its description in RNAcentral is "partial 23S ribosomal RNA". The record is from RNAcentral. Lineage: Bacteria; Bacillati; Cyanobacteriota; Cyanophyceae; Oculatellales; Oculatellaceae.
GGUCAAGCUACGAAGGGCUUACGGUGGAUACCUAGGCACACAGAGAAGGGCGAAUUCCACAGUG